Molecule: ribosomal RNA, 1372 nt
Filed under: uncultured bacterium
Lineage: Bacteria
Description: bacterial SSU rRNA
Rfam family: Bacterial small subunit ribosomal RNA
Source: RNAcentral
GAUGAACGCUGGCGGCGUGCCUAAUACAUGCAAGUCGAGCGAACGGACGAGAAGCUUGCUUCUCUGAUGUUAGCGGCGGACGGGCGAGUAACACGUGGAUAACCUACCUAUAAGACUGGGAUAACUUCGGGAAACCGGAGCUAAUACCGGAUAAUAUUUUGAACCGCAUGGUUCAAAAGUGAAAGACGGUCUUGCUGUCACUUAUAGAUGGAUCCGCGCUGCAUUAGCUAGUUGGUAAGGUAACGGCUUACCAAGGCAACGAUGCAUAGCCGACCUGAGAGGGUGAUCGGCCACACUGGAACUGAGACACGGUCCAGACUCCUACGGGAGGCAGCAGUAGGGAAUCUUCCGCAGUGGGCGAAAGCCUGACGGAGCAACGCCGCGUGAGUGAUGAAGGUCUUCGGAUCGUAAAACUCUGUUAUUAGGGAAGAACAUAUGUGUAAGUAACUGUGCACAUCUUGACGGUACCUAAUCAGAAAGCCACGGCUAACUACGUGCCAGCAGCCGCGGUAAUACGUAGGUGGCAAGCGUUAUCCGGAAUUAUUGGGCGUAAAGCGCGCGUAGGCGGUUUUUUAAGUCUGAUGUGAAAGCCCACGGCUCAACCGUGGAGGGUCAUUGGAAACUGGAAAACUUGAGUGCAGAAGAGGAAAGUGGAAUUCCAUGUGUAGCGGUGAAAUGCGCAGAGAUAUGGAGGAACACCAGUGGCGAAGGCGACUUUCUGGUCUGUAACUGGCGCUGAUGUGCGAAAGCGUGGGGAUCAAACAGGAUUAGAUACCCUGGUAGUCCACGCCGUAAACGAUGAGUGCUAAGUGUUAGGGGGUUUCCGCCCCUUAGUGCUGCAGCUAACGCAUUAAGCACUCCGCCUGGGGAGUACGACCGCAAGGUUGAAACUCAAAGGAAUUGACGGGGACCCGCACAAGCGGUGGAGCAUGUGGUUUAAUUCGAAGCAACGCGAAGAACCUUACCAAAUCUUGACAUCCUUUGACAACUCUAGAGAUAGAGCCUUCCCCUUCGGGGGACAAAGUGACAGGUGGUGCAUGGUUGUCGUCAGCUCGUGUCGUGAGAUGUUGGGCUAAGUCCCGCAACGAGCGCAACCCUUAAGCUUAGUUGCCAUCAUUAAGUUGGGCACUCUAAGUUGACUGCCGGUGACAAACCGGAGGAAGGUGGGGAUGACGUCAAAUCAUCAUGCCCCUUAUGAUUUGGGCUACACACGUGCUACAAUGGACAAUACAAAGGGCAGCGAAACCGCGAGGUCAAGCAAAGCCCAUAAAGUUGUUCUCAGUUCGGAUUGUAGUCUGCAACUCGACUACAUGAAGCUGGAAUCGCUAGUAAUCGUAGAUCAGCAUGCUACGGUGAAUACGUUCCCGGGUCU